CAUUGACGUGAUGAUACCGUGUUCGGAAAAUACAAUGAUGUCGACUAAAAAACAACAGACUACAAUUAUCUGAUCAAUG
Molecule: small nucleolar RNA, 79 nt
Organism: Corylus avellana
Lineage: Eukaryota; Viridiplantae; Streptophyta; Magnoliopsida; Fagales; Betulaceae
Product: small nucleolar RNA Z155
Source: RefSeq, a predicted model, not a curated record